This 285-nucleotide RNase P RNA is filed under the name Nitrososphaerales archaeon. RNAcentral describes it as "RNase P RNA component". It matches the Rfam family "Archaeal RNase P". Rfam says of the family: Ribonuclease P (RNase P) is a ubiquitous endoribonuclease, found in archaea, bacteria and eukarya as well as chloroplasts and mitochondria. The record is from RNAcentral. Lineage: Archaea; Thermoproteati; Nitrososphaerota; Nitrososphaeria; Nitrososphaerales.
GCGAGCUGGUGGGCAGGUUCGGGGGUAGCCCCUGAGGAAACUCCUCCCUCCGUGCAGCACCGCGGCGCCGCGAGGCGCAUCGGGAGACCGAUGGCAACAACACAGAAACGUCAUCUGGGCCGGGGUUAACGGUGAUGAGGCGACUCUGAGGUUCCCGGCUUCGGAGUGAAACGGUUGACCCGCGGGGAGCAAGGCCAAACAGGGUUGAUGAGGGCUGCACGAAACCCGGGUAGGCCGCUUAGCGGAAUCCUGCCUAGAACAGAAGGAGGGUUACGGCCAGCACGC